AUACGUAGGGGGCUAGCGUUACCCGGAAUCACUGGGCGUAAAGGGAGCGUAGGUGGCCUGACAUGUCAACUGUGAAAACCCGGAGCUCAACUCCGGACUUGCAGUUGAAACUGCCAGGCUUGAGGACGGUAGAGGAAGACGGAACUGCCAGUGUAGGGGUAAAAUCCUUAGAUAUUGGCAGGAACGCCGGUGACGAAGGUGGUCUUCUGGGCCGGAUCUGACACUGAGGCUCGAAAGCCAGGGGAGCGAACGGGAUUAGAUACCCCGGUAGUCCUGGCCCUAAACGAUGUUCACUAGGUGUGGGGAGCGGAAAGCCCUCCGUGCUAAAGCUAACGCGAUAAGUGAACCGCCUGGGGAGUACGCCCGCAAGGGUGAA
This 376-nucleotide ribosomal RNA is filed under the name uncultured bacterium. RNAcentral describes it as "bacterial SSU rRNA". It matches the Rfam family "Bacterial small subunit ribosomal RNA", at positions 523 to 898 of the family's 1533-position model. The record is from RNAcentral.